RNAcentral lists this long non-coding RNA (7557 nucleotides) under Brassica napus (rape). RNAcentral's name for it is "long non-coding RNA (BNAP_LNC013474)". The record is from RNAcentral. Lineage: Eukaryota; Viridiplantae; Streptophyta; Magnoliopsida; Brassicales; Brassicaceae.
UAAGUCUCUGCCAAGGAAACCAUUACCAAUACGACACACUGAGGCGAGCAAAACACUCUUCCAUGAUGAUUCUCUAUCAUCUCCACAACCCAACCGUCCCUGCAUUUCCAACGGCGUGCGCCAUCUGCCAGCAAGAGCUUGAACCUGCUCAAGGCUGGCGCUGCGAGGUUUGUCCUGACUAUGAAGUUUGCAGUGGUUGCUACUCAAAGGGCAUCAACCAUCCACACAGCCUCAUUAGCCGACCAUCUGGGACUGAUUCUGUGGUACAGAACACACAAACUAGUCAAAUCCAGACAGCACAGGUAAUUAAAUGUCUUUUAAAAAUUGCUUCUCCUUUUUCCUCAUUUGCUAAUACAGUUUUUGGCACUUGCAGUUAACAGACCUGCUGCUACACGCGAUGACAUGCUUCACGGCGCAGUGCCAGUAUCCAAGGUGUCGCAUGAUUAAGCUUCUCUUCAGGCAUGGUGUUGCAUGCAAGAACAAAAACUCCUGCGUUCCUUGUAAGAGAAUGUGGGCCCUCUUAAGAAUGCACGCCAGAAACUGCAGAGAUCCACAGUGUAGAGUACCCAAAUGCAGGUACGUGAAUCUAAGCUACUUAGUUCUACUAGUUAAAAAUGACUUUUCUUCAAGAAAAGUUGAUGAUUUUUUUCUAAUGAUGUGACAUUGUGACAGAGAGUUGAGAGCUCAUUUUAGUAGAAAGCAACAACAGGCAGAUUCAAGACGCAGAGCAGCUGUGAAGGAGAUGGUGCGGCAGAGAGCCGCUGACGCAGCAACCUCCACUUCUGACUGAUUAACAUAAAGACAAACAUGUUCUAUCUCUCGUCUAUGUGAUUAAGGGGUGGUGCCUUUUGAGCUCGUGCUUAGAAGAAAGGUGCAAAUGGAGAAAAUAUCACAGAGGAAAGCCACUUUAGGAGGUCAAGAGCAAACGAGACUCUCUUACACAGCUACUACUAAUUUAGGUUCCACAAGGAGGUACAUAGUUAGAUGUUUUAUUAUUUACCUGGUGUAUUCUUAAGCUACAGACGAAUGUGUAUAUGUGAUUUUGAUUCAAACUUUAAUGAAUCCUAUUGAGUUGUUGGGUCUUAACCCACUCUUUUGAUCCCUUCGUUUUGGCAAAGCUAUAAGCUAAUAAAAUAUGUGAAAAGAAUGUCGUUGUAAGUGUGUAAAUAAUAACUUUAUUUGUAAGACUUGCAACAACUUUAACACUUUCAACCACAUUCUUUUCACAUAUAUUUUAUUUUUUAACAUGUACACUGAUUAAGCCCCAAAGCUAAGCCGGGAAUAAUAAUAAUAUGAUCAUGUUGAUGCACACAGCUUCCUAUGGCUCUUGGUUCUUAUGAAGUCAGUCACGCUUUUUACAGACAAAACAGAACUUCUACAAGCUUAUUACUUAAGAGGAGUUGUUGUUGUUGUUGUCGGGGAGGAACAGAUAUCUGAAACGAGAAUCAAAUGGGAGUAUUCCACAGUUACGUGAGGGGAGAAGGCUUUGUCUUCUCUGAGAGAUGCACUGUUCCACAAAAGCUGCUUGAUUUGGUGGAAGGUACUUCGCUAUCCACACCCCCAAGUUUGAAUCCUCCACCAAGCUCUUGGCGUAACAAUGGAUCAUUUUAGGUACCAAGAGCUUCCCUUUGCUGCUCAGCCCAACAGAUGCUUGUAUGAAAUCCCUUUGAGCUUCUAGUAGCUCUUCCUUCACUCCUUUGGCUGUGUAGAUCCUCACCUGCAACAAGAUGAUGCAUGAGAUGAGUUCACAUUCAAUAAGUUUAAGCCAAACCAAAAAGGAGAAUGAUAGUUUGCUUAGUUACUUACCGCAGGGGAAGAGUACAUUCCACAGCUUAAGGCAAAGGCAAGAAGAGGUUCAUGAGUAUCAAUGCUUGCUUUGCGUUGUUCUUCUGAUACUUUCAGCUUGUGAAUAGCAAGAAGCAGUGCCUACACAUCAGAAAAUAGAGUAAAUGCUAACAGAUUCUAAAAAAAAGACAUACAAAAGAACUAUGAAGAUGAGUAUAAGCUUAUAUACAAUUUGUGGCCUGUGAGUAGGAGGUUUCAUCUUCAGUAUCACAUACUCCAUUGCCGCCGCAGUGUAUGAGUGCCCUCCAACAGUAUAAGCAGCCUGUGGACCAAAACAUAAAGGAAUAAGAUAAGACAACAAAGGAACAAAACCAAAGUGAUAUGUAAACCUUUUGCAUCAAGGAGAAGAGCUUCAAGUCGCUUUUUGGGACACCAUAAGCCAAAUAAGCCUGCAUUAAAAGACCACCACAACUCUCAUAAAAACAUUCAGAAUGGUUCUUGAUAAUUAGAAGGAAAAAGAAAGAAACUAACAUGCAUGAUCAACGCGUUGUAAAGGUUAAUCCAGAAAGCUAGCUUCUCAUUGCAGCUCAAAUGAAUUGGGUUCACUCUAGCCAGUUGCUCCACAAGUGUCCUAAUUCACGGAAUCAUACUCUGAGCCUUAUAGUUUUAAUCAGAUUGAUAAGAAGAGGCUAAGGAAACUCCAUUUACCUAAACUUCCUCAGUGCCCCGGAAGCAUAUUCCAACUGUUUCUUCCCAACAGACAUCCAAGAAACCUCUGACGCCAAACUGUAGUUUCCAAUCUCUGCCCAGCUCAGCUUCCCACGAACUCUAUAAGGGUCAAAGACGUUUCCUGUGGCCAAGACAUCAGUGUUGUUUUGGAUAUCUAUUUGAGGGCUUUGCACCCAUGAAGAGAUCAUUGACCGUUCUGUUGAUGGCCACCAGGAUGAUGAGCUUGAUAGAUGCCCACGUGGUGAUACUGACACCGGUGAGAGCUGGCUCUCGUUUGAUGAUGCUUUUGAAGUUGCUGUCGGAUCAGCGAGAGACAUGAAGAUGUUCUUCAUGCAUCUCACCAUUUCUUCAGAUAAUAGAUUAGGGUGAUCCCACAUGAACUUAGGUGGCAUUCCUCUAGGUAGCUUCCUUGCAUUUGUCUUUCUCAUUUGCUUCUUCUCAAGAUAUUGAUUACUUGAGUCCAAUACCUCAUUGGUUGAUUCUGUGGGAGAUGACUCAGAAGAAGAUUCUUGGUUUUGGACUGGUUGGUCUUGACGUGGACUGUCUUCUGCUGAUUGAUGUGAUUCAGAAUCCAAAUAUAUCAAGGAAGAAGAAGAAUCCUGCAUAACUAAGACAUAGUUAUACACCAAUAUACAUUACAAUAAAAACAAGACAAAUGUUGAGAUACAUACUGGUGGAGAAGCCAUAUGUGUUAAAUGAUAUUCAGCUAGUCUUCUCUCAUUUCGUUCUUGGCUAAUUUGGAAAUUCAGUGACAUCAUCUCUUGCUCGAGCUUCGUGACUGCAGUCUCGAGCGUGGCUAUAUUGGAAAUAAGUUCUUGAGCCUGCCCCAUUUUGAGAAUCAUCAGCCAAACAAAAUGGUAAUCUCAAUAACAAUAGCAUGAGUUGAAGGAACAUACAGGAUGUGGAACACUACAAGAAGAAGAAGAUAGCUCCCAAGGAUCUUUCUCCAAGAGGCUCUCUAAAAAAGUAUGCAACUCUACUUCUUCUUGGAGUUGAAGUUGCAAUCUUUUUACCUGUAACAUAAAGCUUCUUUUAGAGUUAUAAACACUGCAAAAAUAUUUAGAGAAUAUGCAGACUCUUCUUGAGUUCAGAAGCUCACAUCCUCUUCAAGUUGGAAUCUAUAUGAAAAAGAUUGUCCACUUGUAGACUCUUGGGAAGUUUCUAUACCCUGUAAACAAAUGAUUCAAGCAAGCUCUUAUUGCUGUUUAAAGACUGCAUAAACUCACUCAACAGGUAUAAUCUGGACUGUGUAUGUUCAUACCUCUGACUUGGUUCCUGUGCCCCAUAAUGAACUGGAUCUGGUAAAAACAUUCAAGUCAAUUUAGCAAGGAGAAUUGGAAACAAAAUAUAGAAGUUGAAGAUACAUAGAAACAAGAAGAAAUGAUAAUUCUUACUUGGAUUUCAAAAGCUGAGAGUCGUGUUUAUGUCAAAAACUUCAAGGAGAAACAAAAAGAGAAGAUUGCUCUACUCAGACAAGCUGAGCCUAGUUUAGAUCAUAGACGCAAGGAAACCUUUCAGUCUAUGCGUGCUUCUAGUGAAAGAGACUCUGAAGCUCCAUCUGUUGUUGAUGAUCUGCAACCUUCUCCUAAGCGUGUGAAAGUAGAGAAACCUUCUCAAUUUGCUUAUCCUGACACACACAGCCUCCCACAGAGAAGAUCUGUUGGUGUCGGUAAAGCUCAUUUGUCAAUGAGUUUGCAAGAGAAGUAUAGUAGUCUACAGAGUGAUGUGCCGAUGAAUGCAGAUAGUUCUGAUUCCCGUGAGCUGGAGAGGCCUGUUUGCAAAGAUACCUCCAUGAGAAGACAUGGUGGAGACUCUUCACUGAAUGGUGAAACUGUUUAUUCACCAGAAACAGAGAAAUCAAAACGUAUGAAAGAACUAAGCACACCUAAAGAAGAGAAAGUGGAACAGUCUGUAGCUGCGUCUAAUAGCGGUAAGUCAAAGAUCAAGGGAGUCUCAUUGAUAGAGCUGUUCACUCCAGAGCAAGUAGAGGAGCAUAUCCGCGGUCUUCGUCAGUGGGUAGGCCAGGUAAGCUUUGCCAAACUCUUAGAUGCAACUCUUGUUUGAUAAGAAAGAUUUACCAAGAAAAUGUUUUCUUUAUGUUGUUGUCUGAAUCUUUAUUUCAGAGUAAAACCAAGGCAGAGAAAAACAAAGCAAUGGGGCUCUCCAUGUCUGAAAACUCCUGCCAGUUAUGUGCUGUUGAAAGGCUUGCAUUUGAGCCAACACCUAUAUACUGCACACCUUGUGGCGCACGUGUCAAAAGAAACGCUAUGCACUACACUGUUGUGGUUGGCGAGUCACGGCACUAUGUUUGCAUCCCUUGCUACAAUGAAACGCGUACGAACACUGUGACUGUUGAUGGAACUCCUGUGCCGAAGGCCAGGUUUGAGAAAAAGAAAAACGAUGAGGAGGUUGAAGAAUCGGUACGCCUCUUUCAGCUUUUUUUGAAGCUAUGCUGCUUUACUCUCUCUCUUUUUUUCUGUUUCUGAUGUAAUGAUUAUGUGCAGUGGGUGCAAUGUGAUAAAUGUCAAGCGUGGCAGCAUCAGAUAUGUGCUUUGUUCAACGGCCGUAGGAAUCAUGGGCAAGCUGAGUACACUUGUCCUAAUUGCUAUAUACAAGAGGUGGAACAAGGAGAAAGGAAGCCAGUAUCACAAAGUGUUAUUCUGGGGGCAAAAAGUUUGCCAGCCAGUAAUCUUAGCAACCAUUUAGAACAGAGGUUGUUCAAGAAACUGAAGCAGGAAAGACAUGAGAGGGCUAGGGUUCAAGGAAAAAGCUACGACGAGGUAAAUUAUGCUUAUGUUUCUUGCCACAUUCAACCAUAUGAUGUUGAUUUAUAGAGAGAAAUAUCAAGUUGGGUUUACAGAAAGAUACAAAUAGCUAUUUAAGACGUGAAUCCAAGUAGAAUCGUCUGUAAUAUUUCUCAUAAUUUGUAAUAACAUAAUUAUUCAGACCGCGAAUGUUAAAAGACAAUCCAUCUACAUGUUUAGUGCAAUAUUGUCUUGUAAUGUUCUUUCCUUACAUAGCUAAGUUUUAGGAAGAUAACGAUCUAGUUUCUUUCUUUAUUGAUAUACCAGGUCCCGGGAGCAGACUCACUUGUUAUCAGAGUUGUUGCAUCUGUCGACAAAAUAUUAGAAGUAAAGCCACGCUUCCUUGACAUUUUCAGAGAAGAAAAUUACUCACCAGAGUUUCCUUACAAGUCUAAGGUACAACUUCUUGGUUCUUAUCUUCUAAUUAUGUUUUCCUUCUACUACAAGAUGCCUCUUGACUAUCAGCUCCUAUGCUAAGUUACAUGCAAUUUUCUUUCUUGCUUUCAGGCCAUUCUGUUGUUUCAAAAGAUUGAAGGUGUUGAAGUUUGCUUAUUUGGCAUGUACGUCCAAGAGUUUGGAACAGAUUCCGCCUCUCCCAAUCAGCGGCGUGUGUACCUUUCCUAUCUAGACUCGGUUAAGUACUUCAGACCUGACGUUAGAACUGUGUCUGGGGAGGCCCUCCGUACUUUUGUAUACCAUGAGAUUCUGGUAAGCUAUUUUUUCUUUUGAUCCCAGUUUUGCUUCCAGGCCCCUUGUGUUGCUUCAAAAUUCUUAUCAACAAUGGCCUUGUGGGGAUUGGCAGAUUGGUUAUCUUGAUUACUGUAAGAAACGUGGGUUCUCAAGCUGCUAUAUAUGGGCAUGCCCUCCUCUUAAGGGUGAAGAUUACAUUCUCUACUGUCAUCCUGAGAUUCAGAAAACGCCAAAGACUGACAAACUAAGGGAAUGGUAUGUAAUAAUAUUUUACUUGUUUUUUUUCUCCACCAUGAUGCAUAAUACCAAUUACUUUUUCAGGUAUUUAGCAAUGCUAAGGAAAGCGGCCAAGGAAAAAGUGGUUGUGGAAUGUACAAACUUCUAUGAUCAUUUCUUCGUCCAGUCUGGUGAAUGUAGAGCUAAGGUGACAGCAGCAAGGCUGCCGUAUUUUGAUGGGGACUACUGGCCAGGCGCCGCAGAGGAUUUGAUAGAUCAAAUGAGCCAAGAAGAAGAUGGCAAGAAGUCCAAUAGAAAAGUAAUGCCCAAAAAGGUCAUAUCGAAAAGGGCUCUUAAAGCAGUUGGUCACCUGGACCUUUCUGUUAAUGCCUCAAAGGAUCUCCUGCUAAUGCAUAAAGUAAGUCUCUCUCUGUUAUGCUUUUGCUGAAGAAAGAGAUGAUAUUAUAGCCACCUAAGGUUUCAUUGCUCUUUCUUCUCUGUAGCUCGGUGAGAUUAUCCUCCCAAUGAAGGAAGAUUUCAUCAUGGUUCAUUUGCAACAUUGCUGCAAGCAUUGUUGCACUCUCAUGGUGUCUGGACAUCGGUGGGUGUGCCACCAGUGUAAGAACUUUCAGAUUUGUGACAAGUAAGUUCUCACUUUUUAUUUGUUUAAUACUUUAACACAACUAUAUUAAUUUUAAAUUCCCACACUGCUGUAGAAAUAGCUUAGCCAAAAGACUUUUCUUUACUGAACUAGUAACGUUGGAUCAUUCUAAGAGCUUUCUUCUUUUACUAUAGGUGUCAUGAAGUGGAAAAGAACCGUGUCGAAAAGGAGAGACAUCCAGUCAAUCAGAGGGAGAAGCAUGUACUAUAUCCUGUAAGUUUCUAAUCUGUUUUAAGACAUUUGGUUUAAUCUUCAUGUUGGUUUGGACAAUGAAAAGAUUUUGGUUCUCUGCAGAUUGCUAUUGAAGAUGUUCCUACUGAAAUCAAGGACAGUGAUGACAUCCUUGAGAGCGAGUUCUUUGAUACAAGGCAAGCUUUCCUAAGUCUCUGCCAAGGAAACCAUUACCAAUACGACACACUGAGGCGAGCAAAACACUCUUCCAUGAUGAUUCUCUAUCAUCUCCACAACCCAACCGUCCCUGCAUUUCCAACGGCGUGCGCCAUCUGCCAGCAAGAGCUUGAACCUGCUCAAGGCUGGCGCUGCGAGGUUUGUCCUGACUAUGAAGUUUGCAGUGGUUGCUACUCAAAGGGCAUCAACCAUCCACACAGCCUCAUUAGCCGACCAUCUGGGACUGAUUCUGUGGUACAGAACACACAAACUAGUCAAAUCCAG